AUGUCUCUCCCGCAAGUCAAAGAAACCGGAAGGGGGUGGGUCAACCCAGGCGCUGGCUUGAGGAUUGAUGCAUACAGUGGGAAGUUCAAGGAGCACAACGGGCCUGACUCUGAUCCGGCCUCACAGGACAUUGGCGCUACAAUUUCCCUCCAGUCGGGAGAUGUCAAGAAGGGUGGUCGGUUAUAUGUUGGCGAUGGUGCCAUCCAUAAGAAGGACAUCCAAAAACUCUCUCACCUCCGUGCUACCACGUCGAGCUCAGGUCCUGCUAUAGAGCGUCGCCCACAGCUUGGGCUGCACAUGCUUCAUCAACUCGAGGCCAAUGCCAGGCUUCGAGAGGAGCAAGCCAUGAAAAUGCAGCAGGCUUUCAACAGCAAGAAUUCAUGGUUAAACAACAGGCAAUCCUGCAAGAGACAUUUGCUCAACUCAGAAAUAAUAUGCAGGGUUCCACUUUGCCCGUUCUUCCUCCUCUUCCGACUCUUCCUAAUUUCAACUUUUUUUCUCAGUCGGGAAAAGACUCCAAUAACUGUGUGGUAG
Molecule: ribosomal RNA, 534 nt
Filed under: Triticum aestivum (bread wheat)
Lineage: Eukaryota; Viridiplantae; Streptophyta; Magnoliopsida; Poales; Poaceae
Description: partial small subunit ribosomal RNA
Source: RNAcentral